Molecule: ribosomal RNA, 200 nt
Filed under: uncultured bacterium
Lineage: Bacteria
Description: partial 16S ribosomal RNA
Rfam family: Bacterial small subunit ribosomal RNA
Source: RNAcentral
UGCACGAAUAACCCUGCGAAAGCAGAGCUAAUACUGCAUGUGGUUGUCGGAUGGCAUCAUCUGACAACUAAAGUCGCAAGACGCUCUCAGAUGGGCCCGCGGCCUAUUAGCUAGUUGGUGAGGUAACGGCCCACCAAGGCUAUGAUGGGUAGCUGGUCUGAGAGGACGGACAGCCACACUGGGACUGAGACACGGCCCAG